This 462-nucleotide ribosomal RNA is filed under the name uncultured bacterium. RNAcentral's name for it is "SSU rRNA". It matches the Rfam family "Bacterial small subunit ribosomal RNA", at positions 26 to 518 of the family's 1533-position model. The record is from RNAcentral.
AGAAUCAACGCUGGCGGCGUGCCUAACACAUGCAAGUCGAACGAGAAAGGGACUUCGGUCCUGAGUAAAGUGGCGCACGGGUGAGUAACACGUGACUAACCUACCUUUGAGUGGGGGAUAACCUAGGGAAACCUGGGCUAAUACCGCAUAAUACCUACGGGUCAAAGCGAGCAAUCGCGCUUUAAGAGGGGGUCGCGGCAGAUUAGCUAGUUGGUGAGGUAAUGGCUCACCAAGGCAAUGAUCUGUAUCCGGCCUGAGAGGGCGCACGGACACACUGGAACUGAAACACGGUCCAGACUCCUACGGGAGGCAGCAGUGGGGAAUUUUGCGCAAUGGGGGAAACCCUGACGCAGCAACGCCGCGUGGAGGAUGAAAUCCCUUGGGAUGUAAACUCCUUUCGAUCGGGACGAUAAUGACGGUACCGAUAGAAGAAGCCCCGGCUAACUUCGUGCCAGCAGCCGC